This 360-nucleotide ribosomal RNA is filed under the name Triticum aestivum (bread wheat). RNAcentral describes it as "partial small subunit ribosomal RNA". Lineage: Eukaryota; Viridiplantae; Streptophyta; Magnoliopsida; Poales; Poaceae. The record is from RNAcentral.
AUGAACAAAAUGCCAGAUGUCGCGAUGACUCUAGCCGUUGUUGCCCUGUUUGCUGAUGGUCCAACCGCUAUCAGAGAUGUUGCCUCCUGGAGAGUGAAGGAAACCGAAAGAAUGGUCGCGAUCCGGACCGAGCUGACGAAGCUGGGAGCAACGGUGGAGGAAGGCCCAAACUACUGCAUCAUCAUGCCACCGGAGAAGAUGAACGUCACAGUGAUCGACACGUACGACGACCACCGGAUGGCGAUGGCUUUCUCCCUGGCGGCCUGCGCCGAGGUGCCAGUCACCAUCAGGGACCCCGGGUGCACCCGCAAGACCUUCCCCAACUACUUCGACGUGCUAAGCACCUUCGUCAAGAACUAG